UACGUAGGGGGCAAGCGUUACCCGGAUUUACUGGGUGUAAAGGGAGCGUAGACGGCAGUGCAAGUCUGGAGUGAAAGGCGGGGGCUCAACCCCCGGACUGCUCUGGAAACUGCACGGCUGGAGUGCAGGAGAGGUAAGUGGAAUUCCUAGUGUAGCGGUGAAAUGCGUAGAUAUUAGGAGGAACACCAGUGGCGAAGGCGGCUUACUGGACUGUAACUGACGUUGAGGCUCGAAAGCGUGGGGAGCAAACAGG
Molecule: ribosomal RNA, 253 nt
Filed under: uncultured bacterium
Lineage: Bacteria
Description: partial 16S ribosomal RNA
Rfam family: Bacterial small subunit ribosomal RNA
Source: RNAcentral